UACGAAGGGGGCGAGCGUUGUUCGGAAUUACUGGGCGUAAAGGGUGUGUAGGCGGCUUAGUAAGAUAGCGGUGAAAUCCCGGGGCUCAACCUCGGAAUUGCCAUAAUAACUACGGAGCUAGAAUGACAGAGAGGAUAUUGGAAUACCCAGUGUAGAGGUGAAAUUCGUAGAUAUUGGGUAGAACACCGGUGGCGAAGGCGAGUAUCUGGCUGUAAAUUGACGCUGAGGCACGAAAGCAUGGGGAUCAAAC
This 250-nucleotide ribosomal RNA is filed under the name uncultured prokaryote. RNAcentral's name for it is "partial 16S ribosomal RNA". It matches the Rfam family "Bacterial small subunit ribosomal RNA", at positions 524 to 773 of the family's 1533-position model. The record is from RNAcentral.